CGGAGGGCGCAAGCGUUGUUCGGAAUUACUGGGCGUAAAGCGCGGGCAGGUGGUCAUUUAAGUCCUUUGUGAAAUCCCGGGGCUCAACUCCGGAUGUGCAGAGGAUACUGGACGACUAGAGACCGGUAGAGGCGAGUGGAAUUCCUGGUGUAGCGGUGGAAUGCGUAGAUAUCAGGAAGAACACCUGUGGCGAAGGCGGCUCGCUGGGCCGGUUCUGACACUCAUCCGCGAAAGCGUGGGGAGCAAACAGGAUUAGAUACCCUGGUAGUCCACGCCGUAAACGAUGGGCACUAGGUGCCGGGCGUAUAGACGCGUUCGGUGCCGCAGCUAACGCAUUAAGUGCCCCGCCUGGGGAGUACGGCCGCAAGGCUG
Molecule: ribosomal RNA, 372 nt
Filed under: uncultured organism
Description: bacterial SSU rRNA
Rfam family: Bacterial small subunit ribosomal RNA
Source: RNAcentral